GGAGGACCGAGUGCCGCUCAC
Molecule: non-coding RNA, 21 nt
Filed under: Arabidopsis thaliana (thale cress)
Lineage: Eukaryota; Viridiplantae; Streptophyta; Magnoliopsida; Brassicales; Brassicaceae
Source: RNAcentral